Molecule: long non-coding RNA, 1682 nt
Organism: Sorghum bicolor (sorghum)
Lineage: Eukaryota; Viridiplantae; Streptophyta; Magnoliopsida; Poales; Poaceae
Exons: 10
Source: RefSeq, a predicted model, not a curated record
GCCGAGAAGCCUUUCGUCAUUCUCUGAGGAAAAAAACGCUUCUCUUCUUCUUCGACGUUAGCCCCUCCGCUCCGCUCGCCGCCACCUCGGAGCGCUGCGCCACGCCGGGCCACCCCACCCUCCCCUUCCUUUCCCUCUCCCUCUCUUACACCGCGCAGCCGCACCGUGCAGGCCCGAGCGCGGUUGGUUUCCACCGCGGCGACGCACUGGACGCCCACCGGCAUGGGCGGCGCGACGCACAGGCACGGCCACCGGCGUUCCCUCCCCCACUCCCGCCUGCACUUCGUCUCUCUCCUGACGACCGCAGCCACGUGCGCUCCGAGGAACCCUAGGUGCCUGCAGAUCCGACUGGUGGAGGAUGCCUAGGGACUUCAGAGAUCCAACAAUGAGCUCUAGAAAAAAUAAAAUAUCUAAGGAUGAAUAAGAUGACGUGCUGCCUGUAGUGUCUCAUUUUUGGCUGCAGAUGGUUCAAGAUGUUGUUGGUGCUUUGUAGCAAAAGCUCAACUUCACGUCAAGCGCAGGAGCAAAUCGAUAUCGCACAAUCUGUCCAUGUAAGUUCAUGGGCACGGCGAUGACGAAGACUGUGUGCAGAUACUGUGUACCGGCAGAUACUUACUCCUGCAUUGAGCAUGGUUGCCAUUUUGUUCCGCAUGGCGAUGAGGAAGACUGUGUGCAGAUACUGUGUACCGGCAGAUACUCACUCCUGCAUUGAGCAUGGUCUUGGUUCCUGAGCUACCCAUAAAAGGAGAGCGGUUCAACUAAUUUCAGAGAUAGCAUUUGAUACCUUCCGGUACAUCACCACCAGGAGCAACUCAGGGCGAGCACGAGCUGCCAUACUUACAAACUACUAACAUCAUCAACACUGUUGCAUCCAUUUGUGUUUCUAUUAUCCAGAGUUUUUUUGGCUUACAAUCACGAUUACACAUCAGUGACUCACAUAAAUUAAGUCAUCACUAAAACUCAUUGUUGUCUCUUUCUAUUGUUAGACACCUCCACCUGGAUCGGUUCUUCAAAAAAACCUCCACCUGGAUCCAACCCUGAGGAAACACCUACGAAACAGAUGGUGGCCAUCAGUCCUGCUACAACAACUGGAUCCUCAACUUUGGCCCAUAACAAUGUUCCUAAACAUUUGUUCGGGGACACUUCACUUGGGAAUCAGGAUGACAAGAGCUGUGGAGAGGAAGGCCAUAACAGCACCGAGAGCAAUGGCAGAAAACAAAAAACAAAUGUGUGACAUACGUGAAGCCCCUAGGACCAGUGAUUCAAAGCAAACACAUAGAAACAAGACCCCAAAGAGAGCCUAGAGAUACAUUGCAGAUCUACCUAGGAUGAACGACAAGCCAAAAGUGUCUUCUACAUGGUGAUCCAGCCUUUUGUCGACCAGCGACCAGCAUAGACUACACAUUCGUUGCGUCGUAGCUAUGUGUUAUCAAGCAGAUUUUAAAUAGUUGUGGACUGUAUUUCUGCACCUCUAGAUGAAUACCAUGCUUUGUUGUGUGGCCUGUGUUCACACCCGUGUACUGCUCUAGAAUAUUGAACCACCACCUCAUAAAGAUGUCAUAUCCUUUCAAGGCUGCAUAUGUUAUACCAUUGGGUAAACACACACGUGUAUGACAUGUGCAUUGUAUAUGAAUAAAUCUUACUAUGGUCCUUAACCCUCGCGCGAGGGCGCGCGUUUUUCA